UUAAUACAUGCAAGUCGAACGAGAACAUAUCCUUCGGGAUAUUAGUAGAGUGGCGAACGGGUGAGUAACACGUAAGUAAUCUGCCCUUGGAUUGGGGAUAACCCUGCUAACGCGGGGCUAAUACCGAAUAAUGCAGUUUUUCCGCAUGGUUAGACUGUUAAAGGUGGGGACCUUUUUAAGGCCUACCGUCUGGGGAUGUGCUUGCGGUCCAUUAGUUAGUUGGUGAGGUAACGGCUCACCAAGACCGCGAUGGAUAGCCGGCCUGAGAGGGUGAACGCCACACUGGGACUGAGAUACGGCCCAGACUCCUACGGGAGGCAGCAGUAAGGAAUAUUGCGCAAUGGUCUAACGACUGACGCAGCAACGCCGCGUGACUGAUGAAGCAUCUAGGUGUGUAGAAGUCUGUUAGAGGAGAAGAAUAACUUCGUUUCGAAAGGGACGGAGGAUGACGCUAUCCUCAGAGAAAGCUCCGGCUAACUCCGUGCCAGCAGCCGCGGUAAUACGGGGGGAGCAAGCGUUGUCCGGAAUCACUGGGCGUAAAGGGCAGGCAGGUGGGCCUUUAAGUCAGGAGUGUAAUGUACUCGCUUAACGAGUGAAUUGCUUCUGAAACUGAAGGCCUUGAGACCUACAGAGGAAAGCGGAAUUCCAGGUGUAGCGGUGAAAUGUGUAGAUAUCUGGAAGAACACCGAUGGCGAAGGCAGCUUUCUGGGUAGGCUCUGACGCUGAACUGCGAAAGCGUGGGGAGCGAACAGGAUUAGAUACCCUGGUAGUCCACGCCCUAAACGAUGAGUGCUAGGUGUUGGAGGAAUCGACCCCUUCAGUGCCGAAGCUAACGCAUUAAGCACUCCGCCUGGGGAGUACGAUCGCAAGGUUGAAACUCAAAGGAAUUGACGGGGGCCCGCACAAGCGGUGGAGUAUGUGGUUUAAUUCGAUGCAACGCGAAGAACCUUACCUGGAUUUGAAACGCAACGGAAAGCCUGUGAAAACAGGCCCUCUUCGGACCGUUGUACAGGUGCUGCAUGGCUGUCGUCAGCUCGUGUCGUGAGAUGUUGGGUUAAGUCCCGCAACGAGCGCAACCCCCGUCCUUAGUUGCCAUCAGGUUAUGCUGGGCACUCUAGGGAGACUGUCGGUACCAAACCGGAGGAAGGUGGGGAUGACGUCAAGUCCUCAUGGCCUUUAUAUCCAGGGCUACACACGUACUACAAUGGCCGGUACAAUGGGCUGCAAUACCGUGAGGUGGAGCGAAUCCCAAAAAAACCGGUCUCAGUUCGGAUUGGAGUCUGCAACUCGACUUCAU
Molecule: ribosomal RNA, 1297 nt
Filed under: metagenome
Description: bacterial SSU rRNA
Rfam family: Bacterial small subunit ribosomal RNA
Source: RNAcentral